Molecule: long non-coding RNA, 281 nt
Organism: Hibiscus syriacus
Lineage: Eukaryota; Viridiplantae; Streptophyta; Magnoliopsida; Malvales; Malvaceae
Exons: 3
Source: RefSeq, a predicted model, not a curated record
AUGUUCAAGAGCAAGGUCUGUGAAGGCAAGUUCUCUUGAUGCCAUUUUCAUUUUUAUCUGCCCUCCUUCGAUGACAGAGUUUUAAGAGCGGCUCCAUGCAAGAAGAACUGAGACAGAGGAGCAAAUCCUAAAGCGGCUCCGGAAUGCAGAAGCAGAAAUUGAGCAAGGGAAAUUGUCUGGCAUCUUUGAUCAUAUACUAUAUAACGAUAAUCUCGAGGAGUGUUAUGAGAAUCUGAAAAAACUCAUAGAGCUGGAUGGAAGUGCACCAACUAAUAAGCCAU